Molecule: RNA transcript, 11058 nt
Organism: Anolis carolinensis (green anole)
Lineage: Eukaryota; Metazoa; Chordata; Lepidosauria; Squamata; Anolidae
Gene name: zinc finger CCCH domain-containing protein 13-like
Exons: 4
Source: RefSeq, a predicted model, not a curated record
GGAAGGGAACAGCCAAGAUGGCGGCCGGGUGGUGAAAGGCGCGCAUUGCAGGCGGACUGGAAAAUUCCCCGCAUUGCCCUCAAUGGAGAGGGAGGAGGAGGAGGAGGAGGAGGAAGGCCUCUCCAUGGAAUAUUCUUCAAAUACCCUAUAUACUCGAAUAUAAGCCGACCCGAAUAUGAACCGAGGCAGCUAAUUUUACCACAAAAAAACUGGGAAAUCAUUGACUCCAGUAUAAGCAGAGUGUGGGUAAUAUCAGAAAUAAAAAUAGAUACCAAUAAAAUUACAUUACCGUAUCUACUCGAGUAUAAGCCGACCCGAAUAUAAGCCGAGGCACCUAAUUUCACCACAAAUAACUGGGAAAUCAUUCACUCCAGUAUAAGCUGAGAGUGGGAAAUUUCAGAAAUAAAAAUAGAUACCAAUAAAAUUACAUUGUGGGCGAAACGUCAGGAGAGAAUGCUUCUGGAAACCAAUUAUUAUUUCUAACAUUGUACUAUAUUAAUAAUAUACCACAAUAUCUAUAAUACACCACUAGUAUAUUAUAUUAUUAGUAUUAUGUAACAUACGAGUGCUAAAUGAUAAGUUGCAUAAGAGAUGUGGGCGAAACGUCAGGAGAGAAUGCUUCUGGAAAACCCAUUAUUCUUAGAUUGUACUAUAUUACUCAUAUACCACAAUAUCUAUAAUAGACCACUAGUAUGUUAUAUUAUUAGUAUUAUGUCACAUACUAGUGCUAAAUGAUAAGUUGCAUAAGAGAUGUGUGCGAAACGUCAGGAGAGAAUGCUUCUGGAAAACCAAUUAUUAUUUCUUACAUUGUACUAUAUUAAUCAUAUACCACAAUAUGUAUAAUACACCACUAGCAUGUUAUAUUAUUCGUAUUCUGUCACAUACCAGUGCUAAAUGAUAAGUUGCAUAAGAGAUGUGGGCGAAAUGUCAGGAGAGAAUGCUUCUGGAAAACCAAUUAUUAUUUCUUAGACUGUACUAUAUUAAUCAUAUACCACAAUAUGUAUAAUACACCACUAGCAUGUUAUAUUAUUCGUAUUCUGUCACAUACCAGUGCUAAAUGAUAAGUUGCAUAAGAGAUGUGGGCGAAACGUCAGGAGAGAAUGCUUCUGGAAAACCAAUUAUUAUUUCUUACAUUGUACUAUAUUAAUCAUAUACCACAAUGUAUAUAAUACACCCAUAGUAUAUUAUAUUAUUAGUAUUACAUAAUAUAACUAGUGCUAAAUGAUAAGUUGCAUAAGAGAUGUGGGCGAAAUGUCAGGAGAGAAUGCUUCUGGAAAACCAAUUAUUAUUUCUUACAUUGUACUAUAUUAAUCAUAUACCACAAUAUGUAUAAUACACCACUAGCAUGUUAUAUUAUUCGUAUUCUGUCACAUACCAGUGCUAAAUGAUAAGUUGCAUAAGAGAUGUGGGCAAAACGUCAGGAGAGAAUGCUUCUGGAAAAUCAAUUAUUAUUUCUUACAUUGUACUAUAUUAAUCAUAUACCACAAUAUGUAUAAUACACCACUAGCAUGUUAUAUUAUUCGUAUUCUGUCACAUACCAGUGCUAAAUGAUAAGUUGCAUAAGAGAUGUGGGCGAAAUGUCAGGAGAGAAUGCUUCUGGAAAACCAAUUAUUAUUUCUUACAUUGUACUAUAUUAAUCAUAUACCACAAUAUGUAUAAUAUACCACUAGCAUGUUAUAUUAUUCGUAUUCUGUCACAUACCAGUGCUAAAUGAUAAGUUGCAUAAGAGAUGUGGGCGAAAUGUCAGGAGAGAAUGCUUCUGGAAAACCAAUUAUUAUUUCUUAGAUUGUACUAUAUUAAUCAUAUACCACAAUAUGUAUAAUAUACCACUAGCAUGUUAUAUUAUUCGUAUUCUGUCACAUACCAGUGCUAAAUGAUAAGUUGCAUAAGAGAUGUGGGCGAAAUGUCAGGAGAGAAUGCUUCUGGAAAACCAAUUAUUAUUUCUUACAUUGUACUAUAUUAAUCAUAUACCACAAUAUGUAUAAUAUACCACUAGCAUGUUAUAUUAUUCGUAUUCUGUCACAUAACAGUGCUAAAUGAUAAGUUGCAUAAGAGAUGUGGGCGAAAUGUCAGGAGAGAAUGCUUCUGGAAAACCAAUUAUUAUUUCUUACAUUGUACUAUAUUAAUCAUAUACCACAAUAUGUAUAAUACACCACUAGCAUGUUAUAUUAUUCGUAUUCUGUCACAUACCAGUGCUAAAUUAUAAGUUGCAUAAGAGAUGUGGGCGAAAUGUCAGGAGAGAAUGCUUCUGGAAAACCAAUUAUUAUUUCUUACAUUGUACUAUAUUAAUCAUAUACCACAAUAUGUAUAAUACACCACUAGCAUGUUAUAUUAUUCGUAUUCUGUCACAUACCAGUGCUAAAUUAUAAGUUGCAUAAGAGAUGUGGGCGAAAUGUCAGGAGAGAAUGCUUCUGGAAAACCAAUUAUUAUUUCUUACAUUGUACUAUAUUAAUCAUAUACCACAAUAUGUAUAAUACACCACUAGCAUGUUAUAUUAUUCGUAUUCUGUCACAUACCAGUGCUAAAUUAUAAGUUGCAUAAGAGAUGUGGGCGAAAUGUCAGGAGAGAAUGCUUCUGGAAAACCAAUUAUUAUUUCUUACAUUGUACUAUAUUAAUCAUAUACCACAAUAUGUAUAAUACACCACUAGCAUGUUAUAUUAUUCGUAUUCUGUCACAUACCAGUGCUAAAUUAUAAGUUGCAUAAGAGAUGUGGGCGAAAUGUCAGGAGAGAAUGCUUCUGGAAAACCAAUUAUUUCUUACAUUGUACUAUAUUAAUCAUAUACCACAAUAUGUAUAAUACACCACUAGCAUGUUAUAUUAUUCGUAUUCUGUCACAUACCAGUGCUAAAUUAUAAGUUGCAUAAGAGAUGUGGGCGAAAUGUCAGGAGAGAAUGCUUCUGGAAAACCAAUUAUUAUUUCUUACAUUGUACUAUAUUAAUCAUAUACCACAAUAUGUAUAAUAUACCACUAGCAUGUUAUAUUAUUCGUAUUCUGUCACAUACCAGUGCUAAAUGAUAAGUUGCAUAAGAGAUGUGGGCGAAAUGUCAGGAGAGAAUGCUUCUGGAAAACCAAUUAUUAUUUCUUAGAUUGUACCAUAUUAAUCAUAUACCAGAAUAUCUAUAAUACACCACUAGCAUGUUAUAUUAUUCGUAUUCUGUCACAUACCAGUGCUAAAUGAUAAGUUGCAUAAGAGAUGUGGGCGAAAUGUCAGGAGAGAAUGCUUCUGGAAAACCAAUUAUUAUUUCUUACAUUGUACUAUAUUAAUCAUAUACCACAAUAUCUAUAAUACACCACUAGCAUGUUAUAUUAUUCGUAUUCUGUCACAUACCAGUGCUAAAUGAUAAGUUGCAUAAGAGAGUGGGCGAAACGUCAGGAGAGAAUGCUUCUGGAAACCAAUUAUUAUUUCUUACAUUGUACUAUGUUAAUCGUAUACCACGAUAUCUAUAAUACACCACUAGCAUGUUAUAUUAUUCGUAUUCUGUCACAUACCAGUGCUAAAUGAUAAGUUGCAUAAGAGAUGUGGGCGAAACGUCAGGAGAGAAUGCUUCUGGAAAACCAAUUAUUUCUUUCCCGCCCAAUUUGACCUGUCUCAGCCUGUGACGUGCGGGAGAAUUGUCCAAUCGGGCGGCGACACAUGGCGAAGGGGUGGGACCAAGGCCAAAAAAGGCGGCCGGAUUGGGAGGCUAACAUAUAUUUUAAAUCACAACGGAGUGCGCAUGCGUCAAGCAGCGCCCUGUUUUCGCGCCCAAAUUGGCGAGCAGGAGAAUCGUCCAAUCGGGCGGCGACACAUGGCGAAGGGGUGGGACCAAGGCCAAAAAGGCGGCCGGACUGGGAGGCUAACAUAGUUUAAAUGACAACGGAGUGCGCAUGCGUCAAGCAGCGCCCAGUUUUCGCGCCAAAAUUGGCGAGCAGGAGAAUCGUCCAAUCGGGCGGCGACAGAUGGCAAAGGGGUGGGACCAAGGCUAAAAAAAAAAAACGGCCGUUUUGGAGGCGGGGCUUCUUCUUGGCUGUAAAUUGUAAAAUUUGCCUCAGACAAUCUCGGGACGCCGAGAGAGAAGGCAGCUUGGCCUGGGAGGCAUUCUGAAGGCCUGGGUCGGAAGAAAGAAAGAAAGAAAGAAAGAAAGAAAGAAAGAAAGAAAGAAAGAAAGAAAGAAAGGGCAGCCGCGGCUAGAAGGCCCGAAGAGACAGGCUCCGUUUCUGAAGCAGAAAUGGCAAAGCCUUGUGAAACGGACGGAAGAAAUAAAGGCAAAAUUUUUGAAAAUUUCCACAGCUUUUUCUGAAGGGACCAGCGCUGAAUUCAAGUCAACGUGAAGAAAGAAACAAAAGGUCGAGAGGACGGAAGAUGCUUGAAGACACCCUCGCAAGGACACCGCCUGCCUCCCAAAAAAGGUCGUUUUCAGGUUAAUUGGUGUAAGGGUAGGCAUUUAAUGUCUAUCUUUGCAUUAAAAAAAGGGUUACCUUUGCACACGGUUCCCCUCGCGGGUGGCAUCGAAGUCCCCCCACUCGGGAACGAACGGGUCCUCCCUUUGUUCUAGGCAGAUGAUGGGUCUUCCUAUACGGGCCGUAGGGGUCACAGCUUGGGGGUCAGCGGGGGGGCCCGCCCUGGCAUCGCGGGGGGCAGCACACGUUACGGGCAUUUUAAGAUGUCCUUGCAACUUAGAAAUAAAAAUAUUAAUACCUUAACUCACUUACUAACAUCCUACUAACACCAUUCUAAAUAGGGUACCCUGGCCUUUUAAAUAGGACUGUUCUGCCUGAUGGCAAGAACCAAGCUGGGAAGGGAGGGGGCCUCCUGGCCCCCCAUAAAAGGGCCCCCAUGGAAGGACAUUGCAAAAGGCCCCUAAGGUGUCCUGAGAGCAGCCUCUUGGUCCUCAGUGUUCCCCACGGUGCCAGGGCUGGGCCCCUCGCUCUCCCCCAACCCAUGGACCCUGCCGCUUGUAUAUCAUCCGCCCAGGGCCAACGGACGCCCCCUCCCUCCCCGGGCGGAGCUUCGAGGCCACACUCAAGGGGAGACCAGAGCCGUGUGCUUCAUGCCAACGCCUAGCACGUGGCGAACCUUUUUUUUUACUGCAAACAUAGGCAUCAUGAUUGUGAUUUUUGUUAAUUCCUUUUAAAUUUAAUUGUUUGUAUUUGAUAGCAUGAUAGGCUGGUUUUAUAUCAGUGAGCCGCCCCGAGUCCCUCUGGGGAGACUGUGGCAGGGUAGAAAAAUAAAAUUAUUAUUAUUAUUAUUGAUUCGAGGCACCUGGAAAAAGAAAUACCAGGAAGCAGAUAAAAUUAUUAUUAUUAUUGAUUCGAGGCACCUGGAAAAAGAAAUACCAGGAAGCAGAUAAAAUUUUUAUUAUUAUUAUUAUUAUUAUUGAUUCGAGGCACCUGGAAAAAGAAAUACCAGGAAGCAGAUAAAAUUAUUAUUAUUAUUAUUAUUGAUUACAGGCACCUGGAAAAAGAAAUACCAGGAAGCAGAUAAAAUUAUUAUUAUGAUGAUUAUUAUUAUUAUUGAUUCCAGGAAAAAGAUAUACCAGGAAGCAGAUAAAAUUAUUAUUGUUAUUGUUCUUGUUGUUGUUAUUAUGUAGGACCCCCUUUUAUUUAUGUAAGGCCACACACCCAGGGGACCACUAUUCCUAAUUAAAGCCUGGUUAAAGGGGAUCCUCUAUUCUUAAAGUUAGGCGUAUAGAGAUCUCCUAUCCAGAAACUAAUGCGGCCUGCCCUAUAGAGAUCUGUUAAACCAAGGCGGCCUGCCCUAUAGAGAUCUCCUAUUUCACGUAACACCAGGCAAUAUGGAGAUCCCUGGUUUUUUUAACCUUUAAGUCCCUUACGUGGGGAUAUCCCUGGUUAUUUUAACCUUUAAGUCCCUUACGUGGGGAUAUCCCUGGUUAUUUUAACCUUUAAGUCCCUUACGUGGGGAUAUCCCUGGUUAUUUUAACCUUUAAGUCCCUUACGUGGGGAUAUCCCUGGUUAUUUUAACCUUUAAGUCCCUUACGUGGGGAUAUCCCUGGUUAUUUUAACCUUUAAGUCCCUUACGUGGGGAUAUCCCUGGUUAUUUUAACCUUUAAGUCCCUUACGUGGGGAUAUCCCUGGUUAUUUUAACCUUUAAGUCCCUUACGUGGGGAUAUCCCUGGUUAUUUUAACCUUUAAGUCCCUUACGUGGGGAAAUCCCUGGUUUUUAUAACCGUUAAAUCCCAUACAUGGGGAUAUCCCUGGUUAUUUUAACCUUUAAGUCCCUUUCGUGGGGAUAUCCCUGGUUAUUUUAACCUUUAAGUCCCUUACGUGGGGAAAUCCCUGGUUUUUUUAACCUUUAAGGCCAGAUGUGGGGAUUUCCUUGCUUCUUUUAACCCGUAAGGCCAGCCAUGGGGAGAUAUCUUAGGCUGUUUUCACGAAAAGUCAGGUAUAGACGCACUGUUUUCUCUCCCGUUCCAUGUGCCUGGACUCCCGGAGGGCUCCUGCCGGACACCGUCUCCCAUCGGCCGAGAGGGAUCCUUCCUGUCUGGGAAGGAUCUGCAACACAGGUAAAAAGAAGAUUCCGGGAAGGAGAUUCUACAGCGGAGCCCUUAAGCCAGGUGAGACACUCCUUCCAGCCUCCACGGCUGCCUUGCGCACACACACACACACACGACACACACAAACACACAUGACACACACAAACACACAUGACACACACAAACACAUACACAUGUACAGCUGGUGCCCACGGGGACUCUUCCCCAAUAGAUCGGGGACUCCCACUCCGGCGAUUGGCCAUUGUAAAUGCCUUGAAGCAGUUUGGGGCUUCCGGCCAAGCGCUUGCAAAGAGAAUCCAUUCAAGGUUGGACCCCUUUUAAAGGGCCUGGCACGUGGUAUUUAUUCCUGGCACGUGGAAAACUCCAUUUGUAAGGCAAACCCUCGUUAAAGGAGGUUUGCAAUUAGUUUAAAACCAGGCUUCUGAGGGACCCGCUGCGUUUAAAGCCAAACCUAGCAGGUGGGAACCCCUUGGUUAACGUAAGGCAAGGGACCCUCCCUAUUUAAUAAGAUGCCUGGCAGAAUCUUAACCUAAAUGCAGGCCUAUGGGCUACAGCCUAUUCUGCAUAGCCAGGCAUGGGGGGACCCCAGAUUAUUAACUUGAAGCCUGGGAAAAGGAGAUUUUUGUAUUUAUUUAUUUAUUUAUUUAUUACAAGAUUUAUAUCCGGCCCUCUCUCCCCUUAAAAGGGGACUCAGAGCGGCUUACAAGUGAUAUUUACAUAUUUAUUACAAUAUUUAUAUCCCACCCUCUAUCCUUAAAAGGGGACUCAGAGCGGCUUACAAGUGAUAUUUACAUAUUUAUUUAUUACAAUAUUUAUAUCCCACCCUCUAUCCUUAAAAGGGGACUCAGAGCGGCUUACAAGUGAUAUUUACAUAUUUAUUUAUUACAAUAUUUAUAUCCCGCCCUCUCUCUCCUUAAAAGGGGACUCAGAGCGGCUUACAAGUGAUAUUUACAUAUUUAUUUAUUACAAUAUUUAUAUCCCGCCCUCUCUCCCCUUAAAAGGGGACUCAGAGCGGCUUACAAGUGAUAUUUACAUAUUUAUUUAUUACAAUAUUUAUAUCCCACCCUCUAUCCUUAAAAGGGGACUCAGAGCGGCUUACAAGUGAUAUUUACAUAUUUAUUUAUUACAAUAUUUAUAUCCCGCCCUCUCUCUCCUUAAAAGGGGACUCAGAGCGGCUUACAAGUGAUAUUUACAUAUUUAUUUAUUACAAUAUUUAUAUCCCGCCCUCUCUCUCCUUAAAAGGGGACUCAGAGUGGCUUACAAGUUAUAUUUACAUAUUUAUUUAUUACAAUAUUUAUAUCCCGCCCUUCUCACCCAACAGCGGACUCAGGGCGGCUCAACAAUAACUCCCAUAUAUAAAAACCACACAGUGCAAUAUAAAUCAUCACUAACUUACAUCAGUAUUCAUAAAACACAUUAUAAAAUACAGAUAGGUGUGUUCAGUUCAAAUCCAUUCAAGGUAUACGUGGACCCCCUUUUAAUGCCAACCUUUCCACGUGGAAAACUAUUUGUAAGGCAAACCCUCGUUAAAGGAGGUUUGCAAUUAAUUUAAAACCAGGCUUCUGAGGGAUCCGCUGCGUUUAAAGCCAAACCUAGCAGGUGGGAACCCCUUUGGUUAACGCAAGGUGAGGGACCCUCCAUUUUUAAUAGGAUGCCUGGGAGAAUCUUAACCUAAAAGCAGGCCUAUGGGCUACAGCCUAUUCUGCAUAGCCAGGCAUGGGGGGACCCCAUAUGAUUAAUUUGAAGCCUGGUAAAAGGAGAUUUUUGUAUUUAUUACAUUUAUAUCCCGCCCUCUCUCCCCUUAAAGGGGACUCAGGGCAGCUUAACAAUAAGACGCAUAUAUAAAAAACCAUACAGUGCAAUGUAAGUCAUCAUUAACUUACAUCAGUAUUCAUAAAACACAUCAUAAAAUACAGAUAGGUGUAUUACAUACACUGUAUCAUUAGCAUCGCACAAUAUUAGCAUUAUAUAUUACUACACUGCAUUAUACCACUAUACAGAAAUGUUAUUAGCAAUAUUACAUUUAAUAUAUUAUAUGUAAUUCAUAUUAUUAUAUUGUAUCAUUGUUAGUAUUAUAUUGCAUUAUUUAUUUAUUUGCUAGAUGUAUAUGCUGCCCUUCUCACCCCCAAGGUGAACAGCUUACAAAAUAAAUUUACAUACAAUAUUAUAUUAUUACCAUAGUACAAUACUGGCAGUAAAUUACUAUAUUGUACUAUAUGAAUAUAUGGUAAUGUUAUUAGUAGUAUUACAUGCAAAAUGUAAUACAUAAUUAAUAUUAUUAUAUUUUAUUAUUAGUAUAUCGUAUUACAAUAUAAUAAUAUGAACAUUAUAUGUAUAUGCAAUAUGUUAUAAUUAUAUAUUAAAUUAUAUAUACACACACACACAGUAGUCAUCCAACAUAAAAGGGCCAGCGAAUAUUUAUUUAUUUAUUUACAGCAUUUUACCGGGCUGGCCUCAAACUCAUGACCUCCUGGUCAGAGUGAUUUGUUGAUAUUUAUUUAUUUACAGCAUUUAUAUUCCGCCCUUCUUUCUCACCCCGAAGGGGACUCAGGGCGGAUCACAUGACACAUAUAGGCAAACAUUCAAUGCCUUUUAACAUAGAACAAAGACAAACAAACAGGCUCCGAGCGGGCCUCGAACUCGUGACCUCCUGGUCAGAGUGAUUCAUUGCAGUUAAUUGCAGCUGGCUUGCUUUCCAGCCUGCGCUGUUGGAUAAUAAGGAGGCAUUAUGGAAAAGCCUAUUAAACAUCAAAUUAGUUGAUGAUUUUACAAAUUAAGCACCAAAACAUCAUUUGACAGAAAAAGUAGUUCAAUACGCAGUAAUGCUAUGUAGUAAUUACUGUAUUUACGGAUUUAGCACCAAAAUAUCACAACGCAUUGAAAACAUGGACUACAAAAAUGCGUUGGAUAAUCCAGAAUGUUGGAUAAUCCAGAAUGUUGGAUGAGACUACUGUAUAUACAAUAUAAAUUAGAAUAGCAUGUUAUUGGGGGAGGAGCAUCUUGGUUAUUAGAUGUUUAUAUUAGUUAUUGAUAUUAGUAUAGAUAUGACAUUGAGUAUAUUAUUAUCCUAGCACAAUGUUAAUAUUAGUUAUUCAUAUUAGUCUCAAUAUGACAUUAAUAGUAUAUUAUUAUCCUAGCACAAUGUUAUUACAUAGGACUAUGUUGUUGCUAGGGGGAGGGCCCUCCCACUGAGAUCCCCUGUCAUUAAUGUGUCAGACCAGGCAUUUCACUCCUACCUUUGCAUCAGAAAGCAGGCUCCCUGUGCGCUAGGCCUUCCUUUGAGGAACACAUUCACGGCUCCGCUUGAGUGUGGCAUUGAGGCCCCACUCUGGGACGGGCGGGUCCUCCUUUGCCCUGUGCAGAUCGUGGGGGGGGGGGGGCGGAUCUCCCUAGACGGGCAGGGGGUUGCGGCUGGCGGGACAGCGGGAUAUAAAAAUAUAAAUAUAUAUAUUAAAACCCUUGCACCCAAGGAAACAACUCUGGGGACCCGAGCGGCCGCUCCCAGCGCACGUCACGGGCAUUUUAAACAUCUCGUAGCAGCUCAGAUUAAUACCUAAACUAACCUUAACCUGCUAACCCUACUAACCCAAUUCUUAACUAGAGCAGCACUUGUAAAUAGGGCUGUUUUUGCCUGUUGGCAAGAACCAAGUUGGGAGGGGGCCUCUGGGCCUCGGGUGGGAAGAAGGCCCCCCUGUCCCUGCCCUGCGCUGGGAGCGCCCCCCCUCGGGACCCCAGUGUUUAGGUCGCCGGAUUGGAGGAGAGCGGGGACCAGAAAGCCCCUCCGCCAUCCGCCCAGGGCCAAUGGACACCCCUCCCUCCCUCCCCGGCAGCCGCGUUCCUCAUGCAACAGGGAGCCUGGUUCUGGAUGCAAACGUGGGACCCCCUUAGGACCCCCUUUUCUCUGUGCAGGGACCCCCACUCCCCAUAAAUAAAUGCCUGGUGGAAGGGGAUCCUCUGUCCUGGGGAGAAAAAGCGACAUGCGUCAAGCUGUGGCUUUGCUCCCGCAGUUCCCAAGAGCCCCCAAAAGCGAGAUGCUCCCUUGGUUCUGCCCUUCUGACACUUGUUUUCUCCCUUGUUCCAUGUCUCCGGAAUCGCCGAGGGAGGGAGGGGCAGAGGGGCUCCUCCUGGACAAGAGCCACGGACGGACGGACGGACGGACAGACGGACGGAGAUCACGGAGAGCAGGACGCCUUGCCUUUCCGGAUGCUGAGCUCGACCCCUUUCCAACAAUGUCAGCGUUUAAGAAUAAAACUUCCCAAAAAAAGGUGUUUUCUGGUUAUUAUUCAAACAUUGAAUUUUUGGCAGCCUUAAACAUCUAGAUUACAAUACAGUUUGUGCUGCUGCCUUUUAUAAACCUCGUUUUCUACAAAUAAAGUCAAGAGAAAUACUAUAAGUUUUGCACUGUGCUCAGACUCAUUGUUCUGAUAGGCUGUUAUAUGGUUAUUAUUGAAAGGCAUAAUGAGUUUUUGGCAGCAUGAAACAUCUAGAUUACAAUACACUUUGUGCUGCUGCCUUUUAUAAAUCUUGUUUUCUACAAAUAAAGUUGAGAGAAACACCUGUAUAA